CGCAUCUGUGCAUGCAGCAUAUCAAUAAGCGGAGGAAAAGAAACUAACAAGGAUUCCCUUAGUAACGGCGAGUGAAGCGGGAAGAGCUCAAAUUUGAAAUCUUCAAGGUUUUACCUUGACGAAUUGUAGUUUAAAGAAGUGUUUCUCUGUUGAAGUUUUGGUAAAAGUUCUUUGGAAUAGGACAUCAUAGAGGGUGAGAAUCCCGUAUUUGACCAUUAUUUUCAGCUGUGUGAUACACUUUCAAAGAGUCGGAUUGUUUGGGAAUGCAGUCCAAAAUGGGUGGUAAAUUUCAUCUAAAGCUAAAUAUUGGCGAGAGACCGAUAGCGAACAAGUACCGUGAGGGAAAGAUGAAAAGAACUUUGAAAAGAGAGUUAAACAGUACGUGAAAUUGUCAAAAGGGAAGCGUUUGACACCAGUGUUGUUUUCUCGAAAAUCAAUUAAAAAGAGUUAGAUUUUGUUGUGUAUUGACCUUAACAGCUUGCAUUUCAAUUUUCUUGCUUUUUUUAAUGCACUUUUCGUUUAACAAGUCAACAUCAGUUUCUUUUGUUGUAAAAAGGUCAUUGGAAGGUGGCUUUCUUUUCGGAGAAAGUGUUUAUAGCCUUUGACUCCUGCAAUCGGAGAGACUGAGGUCUGCAGCGUAGAUCCUUCGGGGUUAGAUACAUUUGUGCUAAGUUAUAGCUUUUUAUAGACAACUUGUUGACUAUGAUUAGUCUUGUAGCUUACUCGCUUAUGCUAUUUUACCUACGCUUAGGAUGUUGACGCGCGUGUGUGCGUG
Molecule: ribosomal RNA, 775 nt
Filed under: uncultured Neocallimastigales
Lineage: Eukaryota; Fungi; Neocallimastigomycota; Neocallimastigomycetes; Neocallimastigales
Description: partial large subunit ribosomal RNA
Rfam family: Eukaryotic large subunit ribosomal RNA
Source: RNAcentral